AUUGAACGCUGGCGGCAGGCCUAACACAUGCAAGUCGAACGAGUGGCGGACGGGUGAGUAAUGUCUGGGAAACUGCCCGAUGGAGGGGGAUAACUACUGGAAACGGUAGCUAAUACCGCAUACCAUAGGAUGUGCCCAGAUGGGAUUAGCUAGUAGGUGGGGUAAAGGCUCACCUAGGCGACGAUCCCUAGCUGGUCUGAGAGGAUGACCAGCCACACUGGAAUGGUGCACCGGUCAAGACCCCUCCGGGAGGAAGAAGGGGGGAAAAUUGCAAAAGGGCGGAAAGCUGGAUGAAGAAAGGCCGCUGUGAGGAAGAAGGCCUUGGGGUUGAAAAGUAUUUUGAGCGAGGAGGCGUUACUCGAAGAAGAAGCACCGGCUAACUCCGUGCCAGCCGCCGCGGUAAUAC
This 406-nucleotide ribosomal RNA is filed under the name uncultured bacterium. Its description in RNAcentral is "partial 16S ribosomal RNA". It matches the Rfam family "Bacterial small subunit ribosomal RNA", at positions 29 to 526 of the family's 1533-position model. The record is from RNAcentral.